CUUCCACUUUCUUCUCCUCAGCUGGAGCAGCAGCAGUGGAGGGGGGCAUUGAUCUUAUCCUCCGUGACUGUCACCUCAUCGUCGUGCAGAAUGAGGGCCGAGCGCUGCCGGACGCGGUGCUAGUCGCAGGAUGAAGUGAGGGCCUUACCCCAACGCGGCCUUAGCUUCCUCGGAAGGACCGAGCAGCUUGGCGGCAGCUGAGGGAAGGGGUCGG
Molecule: long non-coding RNA, 214 nt
Filed under: Homo sapiens (human)
Lineage: Eukaryota; Metazoa; Chordata; Mammalia; Primates; Hominidae
Description: HSALNT0307351
Source: RNAcentral